RNAcentral lists this ribosomal RNA (760 nucleotides) under Citrobacter youngae. Its description in RNAcentral is "bacterial SSU rRNA". It matches the Rfam family "Bacterial small subunit ribosomal RNA", at positions 74 to 830 of the family's 1533-position model. Lineage: Bacteria; Pseudomonadati; Pseudomonadota; Gammaproteobacteria; Enterobacterales; Enterobacteriaceae. The record is from RNAcentral.
GCUUGCUCUCGGGUGACGAGUGGCGGACGGGUGAGUAAUGUCUGGGAAACUGCCUGAUGGAGGGGGAUAACUACUGGAAACGGUAGCUAAUACCGCAUAACGUCGCAAGACCAAAGAGGGGGACCUUCGGGCCUCUUGCCAUCAGAUGUGCCCAGAUGGGAUUAGCUAGUAGGUGGGGUAACGGCUCACCUAGGCGACGAUCCCUAGCUGGUCUGAGAGGAUGACCAGCCACACUGGAACUGAGACACGGUCCAGACUCCUACGGGAGGCAGCAGUGGGGAAUAUUGCACAAUGGGCGCAAGCCUGAUGCAGCCAUGCCGCGUGUAUGAAGAAGGCCUUCGGGUUGUAAAGUACUUUCAGCGGGGAGGAAGGUGUUGAGGUUAAUAACCUCGUCAAUUGACGUUACCCGCAGAAGAAGCACCGGCUAACUCCGUGCCAGCAGCCGCGGUAAUACGGAGGGUGCAAGCGUUAAUCGGAAUUACUGGGCGUAAAGCGCACGCAGGCGGUCUGUCAAGUCGGAUGUGAAAUCCCCGGGCUCAACCUGGGAACUGCAUUCGAAACUGGCAGGCUAGAGUCUUGUAGAGGGGGGUAGAAUUCCAGGUGUAGCGGUGAAAUGCGUAGAGAUCUGGAGGAAUACCGGUGGCGAAGGCGGCCCCCUGGGACAAAGACUGACGCUCAGUGCGAAAGCGUGGGGGAGCAAACAGGAUUAGAUACCCUGGGUAGUCCACGCCGUAAACGAUGUCGACUUGGAGGUUGUGCC